CUUGAGUGGCGGACGGGUGAGUAACGCGUGAGAAUCUGCCAAAAGGUUCGGGACAACCACUGGAAACGGUGGCUAAUACCGAAUGUGCCGUAAGGUGAAAGAUUUAUUGCCUUUUGAUGAGCUCGCGUCUGAUUAGCUAGUUGGUGGGGUAAAGGCUUACCAAGGCGGCGAUCAGUAACUGGUCUGAGAGGAUGACCAGUCACACUGGGACUGAGACACGGCCCAG
RNAcentral lists this ribosomal RNA (226 nucleotides) under uncultured bacterium. RNAcentral describes it as "partial 16S ribosomal RNA". It matches the Rfam family "Bacterial small subunit ribosomal RNA", at positions 90 to 334 of the family's 1533-position model. The record is from RNAcentral.